CCUACGGGUGGCAGCAGUGGGGAAUAUUGGGCAAUGGACGAAAGUCUGACGCAGCGACGCCGCGUGAAGGAUGAAGGUCUUCGGAUUGUAAACCUCUUUUCUCAGGGAAGAACAGUGUUACUGUACCUUAGCAGUGAGUCUCCGCUAACUACAUGCCAGCAGCCGCGGUAAUACGUAGGAGGCGAGCGUUAUCCGGAAUGACUGGGCGUAAAGGGUGCGUAGGUGGGUUGUCAAGUCAGUGGCGAAACUCCGAGGCUCAACCUGGGAACUACUAUUGAAACUGGCAGACUUGAGUGCAGGAGAGGCAAGUGGAAUUCCUAGUGUAGGGGUGGAAUGCGUAGAUAUCAGGAGGAACACCAGUGGCGAAGGCGAUUAGCUGGAAUGUAACUGACACUGAGGCACGAAAGCGUGGGGAGCAAACAGGAUUAGAUACCCUAGUAGUC
RNAcentral lists this ribosomal RNA (443 nucleotides) under uncultured bacterium. RNAcentral describes it as "partial 16S ribosomal RNA". It matches the Rfam family "Bacterial small subunit ribosomal RNA", at positions 338 to 795 of the family's 1533-position model. The record is from RNAcentral.